Molecule: small nucleolar RNA, 135 nt
Organism: Elgaria multicarinata webbii
Lineage: Eukaryota; Metazoa; Chordata; Lepidosauria; Squamata; Anguidae
Product: small nucleolar RNA SNORA29
Exons: 1
Source: RefSeq, a predicted model, not a curated record
UUUCCCAUUUGACUACCACUUAUUUGCACUACAAAAUAAGUGGCUAUGCUUAUGGGAUAAAGAAAUCACUGCCAAAGUCUGAAGGAGAAGACUGACAAUAUCUUUUUCCUAUAUGAAAUGGCAGAACAUGGUAUU